Molecule: ribosomal RNA, 815 nt
Filed under: uncultured bacterium
Lineage: Bacteria
Description: bacterial SSU rRNA
Rfam family: Bacterial small subunit ribosomal RNA
Source: RNAcentral
GGCGUAAAGCGAGCGUAGGUGGCUCGAUAAGUCAGAUGUGAAAUCCCGGGCUUAACCUGGGAACUGCAUCUGAAACUGUUAGGCUAGAGUAGGUGAGAGGGAAGUAGAAUUUCAGGUGUAGCGGUGAAAUGCGUAGAGAUCUGAAGGAAUACCGAUGGCGAAGGCAGCUUCCUGGCAUCAUACUGACACUGAGGCUCGAAAGCGUGGGUAGCAAACAGGAUUAGAUACCCUGGUAGUCCACGCCGUAAACGAUGUCUACUAGUCGUUGGGUCCCUUGAGGACUUAGUGACGCAGCUAACGCAAUAAGUAGACCGCCUGGGGAGUACGGCCGCAAGGUUAAAACUCAAAUGAAUUGACGGGGGCCCGCACAAGCGGUGGAGCAUGUGGUUUAAUUCGAUGCAACGCGAAGAACCUUACCUGGUCUUGACAUAUCUAGAAUCCUGCAGAGAUGCGGGAGUGCCUUCGGGAAUUAGAAUACAGGUGCUGCAUGGCUGUCGUCAGCUCGUGUCGUGAGAUGUUGGGUUAAGUCCCGCAACGAGCGCAACCCUUGUCCUUAGUUACCAGCGGGUUAAGCCGGGAACUCUAAGGAUACUGCCAGUGACAAACUGGAGGAAGGCGGGGACGACGUCAAGUCAUCAUGGCCCUUACGACCAGGGCUACACACGUGCUACAAUGGUAGGUACAGAGGGCAGCUACACAGCGAUGUGAUGCGAAUCUCAAAAAGCCUAUCGUAGUCCAGAUUGGAGUCUGCAACUCGACUCCAUGAAGUAGGAAUCGCUAGUAAUCGCGGAUCAGAAUGCCGCGGUGAAUACGUU